UACGUAGGGGGCUAGCGUUGUCCGGAUUUAUUGGGCGUAAAGAGCGUGUAGGCGGCCAGGUAGGUCUGCUGUGAAAACUCGAGGCUCAACCUCGAGACGUCGGCGGAAACCAUCUGGCUAGAGUCCUGAAGAGGAGAGUGGAAUUCCUGGUGUAGCGGUGAAAUGCGCAGAUAUCAGGAAGAACACCCGUGGCGAAGGCGGCUCUCUGGGCCGGUACUGACGCUGAGACGCGAAAGCGUGGGGAGCGAACAGG
This 253-nucleotide ribosomal RNA is filed under the name uncultured bacterium. RNAcentral's name for it is "partial 16S ribosomal RNA". It matches the Rfam family "Bacterial small subunit ribosomal RNA", at positions 524 to 776 of the family's 1533-position model. The record is from RNAcentral.